Molecule: transfer RNA, 65 nt
Filed under: Rhyzodiastes puetzi
Lineage: Eukaryota; Metazoa; Arthropoda; Insecta; Coleoptera; Carabidae
Description: tRNA-Asn
Source: RNAcentral
UUAAUUGAAACCAAAAAGAGGUAUAUUAUUGUUAAUAAUAUUAAUGAAAUUAAUUUCCAAUUAAA